RNAcentral lists this ribosomal RNA (253 nucleotides) under uncultured bacterium. RNAcentral describes it as "partial 16S ribosomal RNA". It matches the Rfam family "Bacterial small subunit ribosomal RNA", at positions 524 to 776 of the family's 1533-position model. The record is from RNAcentral.
UACGUAGGGCGCGAGCGUUGUCCGGAUUUAUUGGGCGUAAAGAGCUCGUAGGCGGUUUGUCGCGUCUGCUGUGAAAUCCCGAGGCUCAACCUCGGGCCUGCAGUGGGUACGGGCAGACUGGAGUGCGGUAGGGGAGAAUGGAAUUCCUGGUGUAGCGGUGAAAUGCGCAGAUAUCAGGAGGAACACCUAUUGCGAAGGCAGCUCGCUGGGACGUAACUGACGCUGAGACGCGAAAGCGUGGGGAGCAAACAGG